AUGGUUAAGUCCUCGAUCUAUUAGUAUUCGUCAGCUCCACAUGUCACCAUGCUUCCACCUCGAACCUAUCAACCUGAUCAUCUUUCAGGGAUCUUACUAGCUUACGCUAUGGGAAAUCUCAUCUUGAGGGGGGCUUCAUGCUUAGAUGCUUUCAGCACUUAUCCCUUCCGCACAUAGCUACCCAGCUAUGCCCUUGGCAGAACAACUGGUACACCAGCGGUGCGUCCAUCCCGGUCCUCUCGUACUAAGGACAGCUCCUCUCAAAUUUCCUACGCCCACGACGGAUAGGGACCGAACUGUCUCACGACGUUCUGAACCCAGCUCGCGUACCGCUUUAAUGGGCGAACAGCCCAACCCUUGGGACCGACUACAGCCCCAGGAUGCGAUGAGCCGACAUCGAGGUGCCAAACCUCCCCGUCGAUGUGGACUCUUGGGGGAGAUAAGCCUGUUAUCCCCGGGGUAGCUUUUAUCCGUUGAGCGAUGGCCCUUCCAUGCGGAACCACCGGAUCACUAAGCCCGACUUUCGUCCCUGCUCGACUUGUAGGUCUCGCAGUCAAGCUCCCUUAUGCCUUUGCACUCUACGAAUGAUUUCCAACCAUUCUGAGGGAACCUUUGGGCGCCUCCGUUACACUUUAGGAGGCGACCGCCCCAGUCAAACUGCCCACCUGACACUGUCUCCCGGGUCGAUAAGACCCGUAGGUUAGAAUUUCAAUACAGUCAGGGCGGUAUCCCACCAGCGCCUCCACCGAAGCUAGCGCUCCGGUUUCAAUGGCUCCCGCCUAUCCUGUACAAACUGUACCAAAAUUCAAUAUCAGGCUACAGUAAAGCUCCACGGGGUCUUUCCGUCCUGUCGCGGGUAACCUGCAUCUUCACAGGUACUAUAAUUUCACCGAGUCUCUGGUUGAGACAGUGCCCAAAUCGUUACACCUUUCGUGCGGGUCGGAACUUACCCGACAAGGAAUUUCGCUACCUUAGGACCGUUAUAGUUACGGCCGCCGUUUACUGGGGCUUCAGUUCAGAGCUUCGCUUACGCUAACCCCUCUCCUUAACCUUCCAGCACCGGGCAGGUGUCACCCCCUAUACUUCGCCUUACGGCUUCGCAGAGAGCUGUGUUUUUGCUAAACAGUCGCUUGGGCCUAUUCACUGCGGCUUUCCGUUAAGAAAGCACCCCUUCUCCCGAAGUUACGGGGUCAUUUUGCCGAGUUCCUUAACCAGAGUUCUCUCGCACACCUUAGGAUUCUCUCCUCGCCUACCUGUGUCGGUUUGCGGUACAGGCACCUUUUAUCUCGCUAGAAGCUUUUCUUGGCAGCGGGGAAUCAAAGACUUCGCUCCAUAAGGAGCUUCCCCAUCACAGCUCAGCCUUUAUGAUAAGCGGAUUUGCCUACUUAUCAGCCUAACUGCUUGGACGUGCACAACCAAUCGCACGCUUCUUCUAUCCUUCUGCGUCCCUCCAUUGCUCAAACGAUAAAGAGGUGGUACAGGAAUAUCAACCUGUUGUCCAUCGCCUACGCCUGUCGGCCUCGGCUUAGGUCCUGACUAACCCUGAGCGGACGAGCCUUCCUCAGGAAACCUUAGGCAUUCGGUGGACGGGAUUCUCACCCGUCUUUCGCUACUCAUACCGGCAUUCUCACUUCUAAGCACUCCACCAGUCCUUACGGUCUGACUUCACUGUCCUUAGAACGCUCCCCUACCACUGAUACCAUUGGUAUCAAUCCGCAGCUUCGGUGGUGUAUUUAGCCCCGGUACAUUUUCGGCGCAGAGUCACUCGACUAGUGAGCUAUUACGCACUCUUUAAAUGGUGGCUGCUUCUAAGCCAACAUCCUAGUUGUCUAAGCAACUCCACAUCCUUUUCCACUUAAUACACACUUUGGGACCUUAGCUGGCGGUCUGGGCUGUUUCCCUUUUGACUACGGAUCUUAUCACUCGCAGUCUGACUCCUAAGGAUAAGUCAUUGGCAUUCGGAGUUUGACUGAAUUCGGUAAUCCGAUGAGGACCCCUAGUCCAAUCAGUGCUCUACCUCCAAGACUCUUACACUUAAGGCUAGCCCUAAAGCUAUUUCGGGGAGAACCAGCUAUCUCCAGGUUCGAUUGGAAUUUCUCCGCUACCCACACCUCAUCCCCGCACUUUUCAACGUGCGUGGGUUCGGGCCUCCAUUCAGUGUUACCUGAACUUCACCCUGGACAUGGGUAGAUCACCUGGUUUCGGGUCUACGACCACGUACUAAACGCCCUAUUCAGACUCGCUUUCGCUGCGGCUCCGCCUCUUCAGCUUAACCUCGCACGGGAUCGUAACUCGCCGGUUCAUUCUACAAAAGGCACGCCAUCACCCGUUAACGGGCUCUGACUAUUUGUAGGCACACGGUUUCAGGAUCUCUUUCACUCCCCUUCCGGGGUGCUUUUCACCUUUCCCUCACGGUACUGGUUCACUAUCGAUCACUAGGGAGUAUUUAGCCUUGGGAGAUGGUCCUCCCAGAUUCCGACGGAAUUUCACGUGUUCCGCCGUACUCAGGAUACAUUCAAGAGAGAACGAAGUUUCGACUACGGGGUUGUUACCCUCUACGACGGACCUUUCCAGGUCGCUUCGUCUACCUCGUUCCUUUGUAACUCCGUAUAGAAUGUCCUACAACCCCAAGAGGCAAGCCUCUUGGUUUGGGCUAUGUUCCGUUUCGCUCGCCGCUACUCAGGAAAUCGCAUUUGCUUUCUCUUCCUCCAGGUACUUAGAUGUUUCAGUUCCCUGGGUCUGUCUUCCUUACCCUAUGUAUUCAGAUAAGGAUACCAUACCAUUACGUAUGGUGGGUUUCCCCAUUCGGAAAUCUUCGGAUCAAAGCUUACUUACAGCUCCCCGAAGCAUAUCGGCGUUAGUCCCGUCCUUCAUCGACUCCUAGUGUCAAGGCAUCCACCGUGCGCCCUUUCUAACUUAA
This 2920-nucleotide ribosomal RNA is filed under the name Bacillus thuringiensis serovar kurstaki str. YBT-1520. Its description in RNAcentral is "23S ribosomal RNA". Lineage: Bacteria; Bacillati; Bacillota; Bacilli; Caryophanales; Bacillaceae. The record is from RNAcentral.